UGCCAGCAGCCGCGGUAAUACAGAGGUGGCAAGCGUUGUUCGGAUUUAUUGGGCGUAAAGGGUUCGUAGGCGGUUUGAAAAGUCGGAUGUGAAAUCUCAGAGCUUAACUCUGAAACUGCAUUCGAAACUCUCAAACUUGAGUAUGAGAGGGGUGAGUGGAACUCCGAGUGUAGAGGUGAAAUUCGUAGAUAUUCUGAAGAACACCAGUGGCGAAGGCGGCUCACUGGCUCGAUACUGACGCUGAGGUGCGAAAGUGUGGGGAGCAAACAGGAUUAGAUA
This 279-nucleotide ribosomal RNA is filed under the name uncultured bacterium. RNAcentral's name for it is "partial 16S ribosomal RNA". It matches the Rfam family "Bacterial small subunit ribosomal RNA", at positions 506 to 784 of the family's 1533-position model. The record is from RNAcentral.